RNAcentral lists this ribosomal RNA (416 nucleotides) under uncultured bacterium. Its description in RNAcentral is "bacterial SSU rRNA". It matches the Rfam family "Bacterial small subunit ribosomal RNA", at positions 355 to 786 of the family's 1533-position model. The record is from RNAcentral.
UGGGGAAUAUUGGGCAAUGGACGCAAGUCUGACCCAGCAACGCCGCGUGAAGGAAGAAGGCUUUCGGGUUGUAAACUUCUUUUAAGGGGGAAGAGUAGAAGACGGUACCCCUUGAAUAAGCCACGGCUAACUACGUGCCAGCAGCCGCGGUAAUACGUAGGUGGCAAGCGUUGUCCGGAUUUACUGGGUGUAAAGGGCGUGUAGCCGGGUGUGCAAGUCAGAUGUGAAAUCUGGAGGCUCAACCUCCAAACUGCAUUUGAAACUGUGCAUCUUGAGUAUCGGAGAGGUAACCGGAAUUCCUAGUGUAGCGGUGAAAUGCGUAGAUAUUAGGAAGAACACCAGUGGCGAAGGCGGGUUACUGGACGACAACUGACGGUGAGGCGCGAAAGCGUGGGGAGCAAACAGGAUUAGAUACC